AGCGAACGCUGGCGGCGUGCCUAACACAUGCAAGUCGAACGUGAACGGGAGCAAUCCUUAGUAAAGUGGCGUACGGGUGAGUAACGCGUAGGCAAUCUACCCCAGAGUCUGGAAUAACCGGCCGAAAGGCUGGCUAAUACUGGAUAGAGCGACGGAAUCCGUAAUUGGGUUUUUCGGGAAAGGGAGGGAGCAAUCCCCCUUGCUUUGGGAUGAGCCUGCGUCCCAUCAGCUAGUUGGUAAGGUAAUGGCUUACCAAGGCGAUGACGGGUAGCUGGUCUGAGAGGAUGAUCAGCCACACUGGAACUGAAACACGGUCCAGACUCCUACGGGAGGCAGCAGUGGGGAAUCUUGCGCAAUGGACGAAAGUCUGACGCAGCCACGCCGCGUGAGUGAAGAAGGCCUUCGGGUUGUAAAGCUCUGUCGCCCGGGACGAACAUUCUUACGGUUAAUAGCCGUAGGAACUGACGGUACCGGGAGAGGAAGCACCGGCUAACUCUGUGCCAGCAGCCGCGGUAAUAC
Molecule: ribosomal RNA, 519 nt
Filed under: uncultured bacterium
Lineage: Bacteria
Description: bacterial SSU rRNA
Rfam family: Bacterial small subunit ribosomal RNA
Source: RNAcentral